RNAcentral lists this ribosomal RNA (228 nucleotides) under uncultured archaeon. Its description in RNAcentral is "partial 16S ribosomal RNA". It matches the Rfam family "Archaeal small subunit ribosomal RNA", at positions 23 to 246 of the family's 1478-position model. The record is from RNAcentral.
GCCACUGCUAUUGGGGCUCGGCUAAGCCAUGCGAGUGGAGGGCGUCCCGCAAGGGAUGGCCCCGCAGACGGCUCAGUAACACGUCGUCAACCCACCUUAGGGUGGGGGACAACCUCGGGAAACUGAGGAUAAUCCCCCAUAGGCGGGGGAGGCUGGAAUGCGCCCCCGCUGAAAGCUCAGGCGCCCUAGGGCGGGACGGCGGCCUAUCAGGUAGUUGGUGGUGUGACG